UUUGUUUAUCAAAAAUAUAAACAAACAAUGAGGCUUUCUUAUUUAAAAUUGAAAUUAUUAUAUAUGCGAAUCUUGUCUUUCAAAUAUUGAAAUAUGCACCUCCUGACACCUUUUGUUAUAAUAGAUCGGUUUCAGAGAAUCUCAUAAUUUUAACAUAUAGAUCUAAGUUUGACACAAUGCUAAGUAUAAUCUUAUUGUUGAGAGAUCUAGCCAAAUCUUGUUUUAAAAAUUAAACCUGUAUCGUAAAUUUUAUUGAAUGUUUUGAGCUUUGAGUUUGGCACUCGCAUCACCGUUCAUAUGUUAGUGGAAUUUCUAUUUUGACAACUCUUUUACACGAACAGAUCAGAGACGUCAUGUAGCACAGUAACAGAAGUGAACAUGUAUCUGUUCACAAAAUGUAUUUCUACGGCAAAAACCUAAAGAUGUAUGUAAACGAAGUUAUGAAAUUGAAUUUGUGUGCGCUUAUCAAGAAAAAAAUAUUAUAUUUUAUAACUAUAGGAAGCCUAUCCAAUAUUCCUAGAAACACAACUUUACAAUACUCAUAAAAUCCACACUAGCUAUUAGGUUUUCGCUCUACCAC
RNAcentral lists this long non-coding RNA (580 nucleotides) under Brassica napus (rape). RNAcentral's name for it is "long non-coding RNA (BNAP_LNC006407)". Lineage: Eukaryota; Viridiplantae; Streptophyta; Magnoliopsida; Brassicales; Brassicaceae. The record is from RNAcentral.